GCUAGUGUAGCAGAGCUUGGCAAAUGCAAAAGAUUUAAGCCCUUUAUCCAGAGGUUCAAAUCCUCUCUCUAGCU
Molecule: transfer RNA, 74 nt
Filed under: Strigops habroptila (Kakapo)
Lineage: Eukaryota; Metazoa; Chordata; Aves; Psittaciformes; Psittacidae
Rfam family: tRNA
About the family: Transfer RNA (tRNA) molecules are approximately 80 nucleotides in length. Their secondary structure includes four short double-helical elements and three loops (D, anti-codon, and T loops). Further hydrogen bonds mediate the characteristic L-shaped molecular structure. tRNAs have two regions of fundamental functional importance: the anti-codon, which is responsible for specific mRNA codon recognition, and the 3' end, to which the tRNAs corresponding amino acid is attached (by aminoacyl-tRNA synthetases). tRNAs cope with the degeneracy of the genetic code in two manners: having more than one tRNA (with a specific anti-codon) for a particular amino acid; and 'wobble' base-pairing, i.e. permitting non-standard base-pairing at the 3rd anti-codon position.
Source: Rfam by way of RNAcentral